This 381-nucleotide ribosomal RNA is filed under the name uncultured archaeon. RNAcentral describes it as "bacterial SSU rRNA". It matches the Rfam family "Archaeal small subunit ribosomal RNA", at positions 345 to 727 of the family's 1478-position model. The record is from RNAcentral.
AAACUUUGCAAUGUGCGAAAGCACGACAAGGUUAAUCCGAGUGGUUUCUGCUAAAGGAACCUUUUGACAGUCCUAAAAACACUGUUGAAUAAGGGGUGGGCAAGUUCUGGUGUCAGCCGCCGCGGUAAAACCAGCACCUCAAGUGGUCAGGAUGAUUAUUGGGCCUAAAGCAUCCGUAGCCGGCUCUGUAAGUUUUCGGUUAAAUCUGUACGCUUAACGUACAGGCUGCUGGAAAUACUGCAGGGCUAGGGAGUGGGAGAGGUAGACGGUACUCGGGAGGAAGUGGUAAAAUGCUUUGAUCUCUCGAUGACCACCUGUGGCGAAGGCGGUCUACCAGAACACGUCCGACGGUGAGGGAUGAAAGCUGGGGGAGCAAACCGG